This 78-nucleotide signal recognition particle RNA is filed under the name Lawsonibacter sp. Its description in RNAcentral is "partial signal recognition particle sRNA small type". It matches the Rfam family "Bacterial small signal recognition particle RNA", at positions 22 to 97 of the family's 97-position model. Rfam says of the family: The signal recognition particle (SRP) is a universally conserved ribonucleoprotein involved in the co-translational targeting of proteins to membranes. Archaeal SRP consists of a 7S RNA and homologues of the eukaryotic SRP19 and SRP54 proteins. The record is from RNAcentral. Lineage: Bacteria; Bacillati; Bacillota; Clostridia; Eubacteriales; Oscillospiraceae.
GCCCCGUGAACCGUGUCAGGCGGGGAACCGAGCAGCACUAAGCGGUCCGCCGCGUGUGCCGCGGGGAUACUGUUCUUG